Taeniopygia guttata (zebra finch) is the source of this 16340-nucleotide non-coding RNA. The record is from RefSeq and is a predicted model, not a curated record. NCBI's taxonomy places the organism in Eukaryota, Metazoa, Chordata, Aves, Passeriformes, Estrildidae.
UCCUUUUCCUUUUCCUUUUCCUUUUCCUUUUCCUUUUCCUUUUCCUUUUCCUUUUCCUUUUCCUUUUCCUUUUCCUUUUCCUUUUCCUUUUCCUUUUCCUUUCUUCCUUUCGCCGUGUCUCUGGCCGUACAUCGCUGUCUGGCACAUUCUGCAGCUGGAGCCGCUUCUCCGCGCCCUGAGGCAGCUGCUGAUCCCGGCUCCCGGAGGCAGCGCGUGGAAACAAGCGGCUCCCAAAGGAACAUCUUGCACGGACUGCAGUGCCCAGAGACACUCAGGUCAACGUUGCCAUCUGCUGGGGCUGUGCCGGAGCUGCCUGCAGCUGGAGAUGUGCCUGCAGCUGGAGAUCUGCCUGCUGGGGCUCCUAGUCUGGGGCUGGAGAGCGUGCGGAUAAUGAAUGGUGUGUGCUGAACAGCACAAGCCUCCCACCAAAGCUGCUCUAAGAUGAGUUUAGAGAAAAGAGGCUUCCAGAAACUGGGGAAGGAAAAGGAUUCUUGGUCUAAAUCUGCUGUUGCCUUCUCCUUUCCCCAGGCAAAAAAAUCACCACUGCUAUGGACAUCUGCUUUAAUCAGAUACUACUGGCCUGUACUUUACAAUAAUUGUAUUCUGUACAAGGUGGUUUUGCUCAUUUUCAUUCCUCUAUGCCCUAAAUGUCUUGAUGUCCAAUUUAGCCAAUAAGUACUUGCAUCAAAUAGAAGUGUUAGUAUGCUUGUGCUCCUAAGAGGUCCAUAGCACUCUGAGGAAAGUUAAGCAUCGUCUUCUUUCUUCCAUUUAUUAAUUUCCUUUAACUAUAUAAUGCAGGUAAACUUCUUAGGUGUAUAUCAAAGACUAGACUGUCUGUUCUGUUUUAAAGAUGAACACAAUAAAACAAGAAGGUGAAAUAACAUUUCAAAGGGCUUAUUAUUUUAAUAGUUUCAUCUUGCUAAACAGCUUGAGUUCCUUUAGCUUUUCCUUUUAUUUUCCAUCUAUCCAGGAUGGAGAUAUAUAUAUAUAUGUGUGUGUGUGUGUGUGCAUGUGUGUAUAUAAGAUGAAAAAUUGAAAAAUACACUUUUUUAACCAAAAAAAAAAAAAAAUCUGCCAAGUGUAAAUUAGUUCUUUCUCCCAUCCCCUCAAGUACCAGCUUAAAAUGUAAAAGGAUCUCUACAGGCACAGAAAUGCUAUUUAUACUCCCAGGACUUGCUGAAUAGGGAAGUUCAAAAGCAGAUAAAUUGGAUCUCAAUGUCUGAUUUUAGUGGUAAACAAAAUCUUGAACAGCAAAAGAAGAAAAAGGUGUGAAGUUGAGGAGCAGGAGGAUGUUGGGAAGAGGGGGUAGCUAAUGUUUAUUUGUGUAUGAAAGUCUUUUAAUUAUAAGAAGAAAUUCUUUCAGAAAGAUUUUAUUUGUAUUUUCUCUGAGCCUUCUUGGUGCAGGAAAGGAUUUUCUCCAAUUCAGCUAAAAUACAACAUCUGGUACUGUGGGCUUUUAUUAAGGUGCAAUUUCAGCAUAGAUGCAUUAUUACUAUUACAAUGCAUUAAUUGUUGCAACAAUUCGGGCAUUAUAAUAGUAUCUUGCAGGCUUAAAAGAGGAAAAUAAUAACUGCACAAAAAGCACAAUAAAAAUAAAAUUAAUCAGGUGAAAGGAAGACUGUUUGUAAUAUAACUACAAGAGUAAUUAUUUUUUCCGCUGAUAGGUGCAAAGAAACUUGAGAUAUUAAAACACUUUUCUAGUUAUACAAUCACUGAAAAAAUAACGUAGUAAGAAGUGAUUUGUUCUGUUUUCUUGCUUUACUUUGGUUUAGAAAGAAAUUCUGAAAUAAAUUAUAUAUAUAAAAUAAGAUUUUUUUAGCAACAGACAGAAUUAAAUUGCUGUCCCCAGAAACUGCAGACAACCCAGCCAAUCUCCCAACAGUUUUUAUAGCUUGCAAUUCACCAAAUGCCAGUUGUGUAAAUCUCCUUCCUGUCUGUCACUCAGGUUGCUAACAGUGACAUCCCUUUAUGGACUCUUACCCUUUGCAGCUGCUAUUCUUUAUUUUUUUUUUUCCCCCUCAGAAAAGGAGAAAGCCUUCCAAAGCUUUCACGGGUGAAGCAUGCCAUAUUUUCAGGAAGCACUGAGGAACAAUCCUGCCUGGAGUGAAAUAACACAUUUAUUUUGGUGACUUGCCAAUCCCCAAAAUCCCUGUGGGUAUCAAUAUCUAAAUGUUAGGGGAUUUUGUAGAGGUUUUGUAGGUUUGGUCUGUCAGUUUGGCUGUACAACAGAUUUGCUACAUGGUAAGAAUUCUCCCCCAUGAUUGAAUUAAAGUUUUUGCUCCUGAUGGUGUUAUUUUGUUUAGCUAUGGAUUUCCACAUGCUGUCUUGGUCUGUUACUGCCCAGCUUGCGAUUCUGUUUUUACACAAUGUUGCUAAGCUGGCUCGCUGACAGGAAUAUAGUCAGAGCUGUGGGCUGAAUUCUGUUCCUUUACUGCUAACUAGCCUGCAGGAAGAAAGAGUUCUCAUCCUCUCCUCUCUCUCGUGUACUCUGGCUUCUGAAAGCUCGAGGAGUUUGUGAUGAGGUCCCUGUUACUCCUUAGCAAAGCUUUCCCUGGGGUAUCCUCUCUUUUUUACACUAUUUAUUCCUCCAGCAGGAUCAGUGAAGACGUGAAUGUGUUGGUCUCUGAAACAUAUGCCACAAAUCAGUCUAGCACUUCUUUCUAAUCUUAAUGGAGAUGAGCUGCUUGUUGUAAUUUCUUGAAUCUCUCAUUUAGGAUGUAGAGAGACCAUAAAUCUUAAAGCAACAAACAUUCCCAAAUCCUACACUUUGAAGUGAAUGGGAGCGCCUGGAUCAUCAGCACUUUUCGGAAAUAAGCUGCUUAACUAGGUGUCUGAAGUCAUUACAGUCUUUUUCUUUCUGAAAACUUUGGUCUCAAUAUUUGAGGGAAUAUACAACAAAAAGUUUGCAACAAAAAGUGUGAGCAGUGCUUCCCUGAACAGCCUCAGACAAAUCUGUUGGAUACUGUAGCAUCCAAACUCAGCACUCCUGAGUGCCAAGCCAAGAGUUUGGCUUGAAGAUUACAUUACAUUUAUUAUUAGAUUUUGUUUGGUGUAAGGGAUUUGGUCGUUUUUGUGGGUUUUUUUUUUUUUUUUUUUUGUUUGGUUUGUGGUGGUUUUUUUGUUUGUUUGUUUGGUUGGUUUUUUGGGUUUUUUUGGGUUUUUUUUGCUUUCGAUGUUGUUAUUAAAAAACCCAAAACAAAACCAAGAAAAUCCAACUCAAAUAUCAGGCUUGUUGUGAUUUUUAAAAAUUGUUUGCAUUAUUGUUGUUUGUCUGGGUUUCUUUAAGUUUAUUCUAUCAGUACUUUUCAUUCCCUAUCUUACAUCUUCUCUUUUGAAAACUUACUAUUACUUGACUGUGGUGUGGAAUAGUCUAAACAACUGCUAUAAAUAUCUGCUAAAAUAUGUUUCUCUGCAGAGUAUAACAUAGCUAAAUGUAUGCAACGUAUUAUUAUUACGUUCUUAUUUUACUUCCUCAUUUUUGUCUUUAGUUAAAAAUUCAAUUUAACUCCAUAGUCUCUAUCAAUGAAUGAGUUAAUCAAGCUGUGUGCUGGUACUUGAAUUGGAGACUAUUUUUAAAGAACAAGUAGAAUUUUUCCAUAAAUAAUGUAGGCAAUAUACUGAAACAUAGAUUGAAAACCAGACCAAUUUCUGAAAAAUGCUUGCAAGCUGGUUAGGAAACGAGGGGAACAAACGUGAAUGUAGUGUUGCUUAUCGUCUAUUAAUGGAUCAUAUCUUGGCACAAGUGUUUACAUUUCACCUCAGGGUAAACUCUUCAGCCUGUUGGCUGACUUUUGAGGGCUGACUCAUCCUGGCAGCAGCCUUCAACAGCCUGGCUUUUGGAGUAGCCCAUGUGGCAUGGGACUCAUGUUUUAAUGGCACAGGAGCACUUCCAUGACAGCACUUUUGUGGUGAUCACAUUGUGGGCAGGUGUUCAUAUUUUGUGUUGAGGGUUAUGGUUAUUCUGCCUGAAUAAUCUUGUAUUAUUAUCUGUGUGCUCACAGCAGCGCAGGAGUUUGGGAUGCUCACAGGUGCUCAAGCACUGGAAAGAAGUAGGUAAGAGCUGGACUACACUAGUGCCAUCAGCACAGGGCCAUCAGCAAUCCGAGUUCCCCCUUUGUAUCCACACAAUCCACGCCUUUAUUAAGUGCAGGCCCCAAGCUGGAGCAGCCUGUUCAUGAAGGACUGUGCCAGGACCCCAGGCUGAAGCAGUUCAUGAAGAACUGCAGCCCAUGAGAAGGACUCACCCUGGAGGAGUUCAUGGAGAACUCCCCUCCUGAGGAGGGGAUCCAUGCUGGAGCAGGGAAGUGUGAGGAGCCCACCCACUAAGGAGAAAGAAUAGGAAGAAGAAACAUGUGAUGAACUGACCACAGCCCCCAUUCCCCAACCAGGAAUAAAGUUAGGCCCAGGAAGAAAAGGUGGGUGGUGAAAAAGUGUUCUUAAGAUUUGGUUCUAUUUGCCAUUAUCCUACUCUGAUCUGAUUGGUAAGAAAAGUAAUGUCCCCAAAUCAAGCCUGUUUUUCUGUGACAGUGGAAGAAUUGAAAAACCAAAGGAAAGACAGUCAAUAUAGGGCAAGAUUGACAAAAUUCAUCACCUCUUGCUGGCAGCCUUACAGUGGUCAGUAAAACAUGGUUAACAUCUAUGGGAUGUAGUAAGACAAUUAAAUAGAUUUAGGAUUUGGUUUUCUGUUUGAAUGUUAGAUUGAAAAAUGCGUAUGUCUGUCACAGGAAAAAAAAAUUACAUUUGUGGCUUUCAGUUAUCCAGUAUUCCCACAAAAAAAAUAUACUUCCAUGAUGCAGGUGAAAGCAAGAUUGUUGUUGUAAACCUAAAUAGCCCAGAUUAAAUAAGCUAAGUUGUUGUAUCUUGGGGUUUCCUUCUUUUCCUUUUCCCUUUUCCCUUUCCUCCUAGAAGGAGAAAUACAGUUGCCAGUACUGCUUUUAGACCCUUCAAGAUUUUCUUCUGGGACACUAAAUCUUUUCUCCACUGGUGAAAAAAGUAUGGGUUUGUGUCAGGGCAGUUAGCAAACUUGCAUUGUCUUAAGGUGCUGUGAAGAGAAUUUGCCAAGGUUAGUUUCCUUGCUGACUCAUCACGUCUCAUCUUCCCAAAAGUAAUGGUUUGUUAUACCCUGGGUUGGGCCCCAUGUGUGGUUUAUGCUGAGAGUUCUCCUGAGCUACAAACCAGUCCUGAGUGGGCUGAUGGAGGGAGGCAGAUGAGGGUGAAAAUGGCCUGUUUAGGUGUCAAAACUGGUGAGAGGCAGGGGAGCGGGACUCAGGUUGUGGCUAGUGAUGGUAGGAUACACACAGUGUCCCAGAGGAGCUGUCACAAAUUUCCACAAUGGUGGAAUUGUUGCAGCCACUCUGAUAUUUGGGACUUUGACAGCAGAGAUCAAAAUUAACUUGUGUUUGUGCAGAAAUGCUAUCGUUUCAGUUUUGACUGCAGGGUUGGCCGUCACCUACGCAUCAUGUGCAUUUCCUAAUAGUUCAAGUCUCUUGGACUCCUCCCAAAGGCUUUCAGGGGAUUCUGUUACUCCCAUGUGAUCUUUAACAGCUGCCACACGUCAGAAUUUGAACUGAGCCUGUCAAGGUUGAUGUGAAUGUUUGAUAAGCCAUUGGAAAAAAAAAUGGUUUGGUUUUACAAGUGUGGGAAGCUCCUAGGCAGAGGGUCGUAAAUGCUCUACUGGUUUCAAAGAUAGUACUUGAACCAGGAAGACAAAAUGGCUUUGGAACAUUGUUUGAACAAUGGGCUGCAGGACAUCUGCCCAAGGGCUGCAGGCACACAUGCCCUUCGCAUCUCACAGCCUGCAGUACAGAAUGAGAACAGCAGUGCAUUUAUAUGUGUUUUGUAUGUUACACCAGCAUGUAUAUGUGCAUCUAUAUCUGUGUGCAGCCUGCAUAACAACACAAUAGAUUGAGCUCUAGUUUGUGAAAAUUUAAAUGUUCCCUGACUUUUUAAGUCCUGCAGCUAGGAAACCAAAAUAGAUUUUGCAAGAGGUAAUAGUGCUUACUUGACUUGUUGCUAUUCUUUCCAUAUCACUGUAACCAGAUACACAAAUAUCAAGGCACAGCUUUCAAGGCAUUGUGGAGGUCCCCUAGACCUCCUAUCUCUGCAAGAGAAGCAGGUGCCUGAAGCUCUGGACCUUCCUGCUUGUCUUCUCAAAGCCGAAUUUCCAGCUUUGUGAGGAGGGUGGGUGACUCAUGUCCAGCACAGAGACCACGUGGGCAGGUGAGAUUUACAGAAGAACACCUCUAUGUGCGCUGCAGUUGUGUGAGUGAGGAACAGCCCCUUGGAGCAGCACAGGUGCCCCAUUUCAGAAUGUCCUGGGUCACUUUUGUGGGAGCCCUUUGAAGUCAGUUGCACAGACAGGAGGGCAUCUUGAACCAUCUGCAGGCAUGAGACAUCUUUGGGUGGCGCUUUGCUUCUGCUCUCCUCAUUCCCUUGAGAAGAAAGUCAAGUGACCAGAUGAAACUCCCUAAGCAGAAAUGUCAGGAAAGGGGAGGUGAAUCCCAUUUAGUCAGCUUUCAAAUUAAUAAGCUACUCUGUAAUUUCAGAACUAAACUCAUUUAUUUCACAUUAAGAAAUAGAAAGGCUGUGUUAAUUUCUUCUAUCAGAUAAGAGCAACUGAUAAGUGACAGUUGUCCAUUUUUUUUGUUGAUGGUCGAAGUCAUUGACUUUUGAAAUGACAGAAUGACUUUUGAAAUGACAGAAAGAAGUUUGAAGCUGAGAAUCAUCCCAGGAUAGCAGAACAUAUUUGACAGAGUUUUACUAGUAUAAAUUUACUAGUAUAAAUUGACCAGCAUACGCUGGUUAAUUGACCAGACUGAAAAUAUAAAUAUAUUGAAAAAUAUAUAUCUAUAUCUAUGUCUAUAUAUUUUUUUAAAAUUUUAAAUGCUUUAGAUAUAUAUAUUUUUUUAAACAACAACAAAACUUCUUGUUAUAAUUUUUUAAGUUUCAUCAAAGCAACAGUUAAUAAAAGGGAGAAGCUUGUGUGUCAACAGGUUAAGAACAAUCACACUUUUCUAGAAUUUUUAUUUCAAAUUAAAAUAAUCUGUGCAUUGUAGGUUUGUUUUCGUUGUUUUUUAAAUUUUUUUUAAUUCCAUUUUUCAUGUGCUGUUCAAACAAAAGACCUUUUUUUAAUGUCUGAUGAUGAAAAAAAGAUUUUUAUUUUUGUUGUUCAAAAAAUAUGAAAAAAGUCCCCAAGUUGAAAUGGUGAAAAUAAAAUGUUUAGGAGAGAAAAUAUAUAGAAGCCUUGCUUGAAUGUGUAGUUAAAUUAAAUUUAAGGAUAUAUGUCACCAGUUAUUAUAGAUGUAAUUUCCGGAUGAUUUUUUAAAUAGUAAAUAGAAAUUGGGAUAGAUACAUGGUUGAGAUUAGUCUUACCUACUGUUUUUUAUUUUUUUUUAUCACUUUUAUAAAUUUUUCAGUGUUGUUUUUUAUGAAGAUUUAGCUUUGAAAUAUAUCUGCAGUUUACAGCUAGACAGAAUCUUCCUCCAGGUUUUCCAUGGGAUGCAGCAAGCUGUUGAAAUAAAUGCUGCCAAUUUCUGUGCUUUUGAUACCAGGAUUGUUUUUGUGACCUGGUAAUUUACGAGGGCUUGCAACUGAGUGGCCUCAUUUUGCUUGUAAGGUUAUCAGUGAAGAGCAAAAAGCUGCUCCUAGCUAGUCUCAAAGGCUUGGGUUCUAUUUCGAGGGUUUAUUUUAACUGAGAAACAUUACAGCAAAAUUAAGAGCCUAACUUUGCAUGACAUUUUCAUCUGAACUUGUAAUUAAAAAAUGUAUCGUCUGAUUGACCCCCUGUGUGAGAGGGAAAUAAAUCUCCUGCUUAAGACAGCUAUUAUAUCUGGUGCCACAUAUCAGGUUGUCUCUACAGGUCCCUGUCAAAGCAGAGUUGGAGGCUUAUUAGCAUCCUAUUAAUAUGUGCAUAAAAUGUAGUCUGUGUCUGAGCACAAAUACACAAGCUGGGAAAUCAAAGAGAAAUCCUUCACACCUUUUGCUGGCUUCAUCCUGAACUUUUAUUUAGCUUAAAACAACUUCCUUAAGAGAAUUUCCUCUUCUAAAGGAAACACUUUUCUCCAUACUUAGCAGGGGAAUACUGCAUUGAAUUAUUUUUGGAGUGACACAGUCACCACUGGGAGAGAAUUGCUUUAAUCGCAACAUAUGUAUCUUGAUUUUGUCUUGUGUAAAGUAUUGAUCAAUGUGAAAAGUAUUGACCUAUCUGUGGCUUUUUUUUUUCUUUAUAGGUAAAGGUUAAGGAAAUGUUGAGCAGAGUAUUUUCACUUGUAUUUUAUCAAAAUCUUAUUAAGAAAGGUCUACAAAGGCUGCUCUGUGUUGCAAGUUUUCUUUUAUUUAUACAAACAAUACUAGCAUACUUGUUUCUGAGUACUUUAGGGUUUUAUGUAUACUACAAACCUCUAAAGUCAGUUUCAUACUGACUUUGAUAUUGCAGUGCAAAAACCUUGUCUGUAGCAGUCAUUUUAAUUUAGAAAUCCAUCUGUUUAGCUUAUGUUAGUAAGCAAUGGAUUUAGACUGAAUUAAUAUAAGUCACACUGAACUGAAAUAAAAGUUUUGAAAGAGUUUAAAAUUCAUUGUUUAGUUUAAGCAAGAGCUGAGAGUUGCAGGUGGGGAAGGAAUAGGAUAGAUCCUUGCAUGCACCCUUUUUUCUGUUGUCUAGUCUCAAAUGUGCCUCAUGAACUGCUAAGAAUUGUUUAAGAAAAACUUAGGUGGUUCUGUUAAAGCUUGAGGGUUAAGAAAACCUUCAUUUGGUAAUGGAGACUGAAGUGCUUUUAAAAUCAAGCUGGCUAUUUACGUUGUUUAAAUAAAUCUAAUGUAACAGUUCAGUUUCCAAAAGCUUUAUGUUGCUCAAGCUGUUUAUAUUUUGUUCUUUGAGAUUUUUUACCAAAGUACUUUUCCCCUUUAUUCUGCGAGUGAAAGUGUUCCCUGAAUUGCCUGCAGGUACUGUCCUGCAGAACCAGCAGCCUCCAGGCAAGCUCUUCCCACACUCAUGUGCCAAUAGGUCUGGAAAAGUUGCUGUAUCCAAUUACUAAGUUGUCAUAACAAUUUGUGGAAGUAUGUUAAUGCUUCUUUUUACAGGAGUACCUCGCACAUUAUUGCUCAGGGCUUCCACAGCAUGAUUUCCCAUUAUAUAUUAUGUCAAAUAAACACAUGGGUGACUGGAAAAUGCAGAUCUCCUCUACCUGGGCCUGCACACACAAGAUGGUUGAACUUUUGUAGCUUUUCCACUGUGUCAUGAGGGCCUCAAUGCCUAAAAGAAACAACAGAUUAAGUUCUCUUUUAGCAUCUAAAGUUUGUUUAAAUUGUAUGUUUUCCACAGUGAGUUAUCUACAUGGAUUUAAUAUAAGUAUGGAAAUUAAAUUAGAUUUAAAAAUAAAAAUGAACAAUUUCUUUUCUACCCAAGGUUUACCUGUGAGGGAGACUACAUUUUCAGAAAGGAAUAGCUCAGCUUUUUUGUUGUAAAAGCCUGUAGAUGUUUAAUUUCACUCAUGUUCAUUUGCAGGCAUGUUUGCACGGCGUGGAGUGGUUUGGGUGUAGAGCAUGAAAAGAGCAGGGAUGAUGAAAGUAAGCAUAUUUAAUUAAGUGGCCAUGGCUGCUGAGAAACUUUAAAUUUGCUUUAUGCCAACCAUUUUAAAGUGGAAAUACCUGAGAUACAUUAAAAUAUUACUAUUAAUAUUUAUGAAGCAAAAGUCUUUAGAGCUAAUUACCUCAGACCUACUUUGAAGUGAGCCUCCAGCUGCUCUCCUUUGGCACUUGGAGGCUCCCACCAUGAAGUAGGGCUGAGGUUGGAUGGAUGGAUGGACAUGCUUUGCCUUGUGUGUGCCAGCUGCCAGUGGGUGCUUUGGUUCACAGCUCCAUACCAGAGGUAGCUCCAGUAUGUAGAGUAAAAAAAAACCUGGGUGGGUGCUGGGUCCUCAGCAGUGACUUUUAUUCUGCAGGUUCACCUUCCUCUGUUCUGUGCUGUGCUAAUGCAGGUGUGGACAGGGAUGUGCUCCCAGAUUCCACUCAUUUCAUUAAUCUUAGUGUGUCCAUAAUGCAUCGUAUGAGGUGUGAAACUCCUGGUCCUCUGGAGUAAUUUGUACCGAUGAAGUCUGUAAAACUUAAAAUCUUUAGCUUGAGUAUGCAAUUCAUUGGUAUAUUAGCAGAUAAUAACUCAUUUUUAAUCUCAACAGCUAUCUAUUUUGAGCAAAAAAAUAAAAAUAACCUAAAGACUGCAGGCUUGGUUAUGAUAGACCAUUAAAAAAUGAAAGUGUCUAGGACUAAAGGAUGGUAAUUUUGGAAUUUUUCUCAGAUGCUUUCUUCAGAAGAAAAGAAUUUGGAGAAUAUUGAAGAGGAAGAGGGGAAAAGUGACUGCAGGAGAAACUGAGAGCUGGAUUCUUAUCUUAUGGAGCACCCACAUCUGUUUCUCUGUUGGACGUAGCAGGGAGGAACUGACCGAAGAUGAUAUAUAUUACUAGUACAAGCCUGAAUUUUUCAAUUUCUUUAAGAACCUGAACAGAACCUGGAACUCCUGAAGAACAGCAGAUAUGGAAAAACUCUUGUCUCUGACUGCCACUGCAGUGUCAGCACCUAGCCAAACUAGUGGGAUCAGCACCCUGCCAACAGCCACCUCACUCUCAUAAACCCACAAAGCCCGAAAAAGAAACUGAGCAAAUAUUUCCUAUGGUAUGAAUGGUGAAGUCUCUUUGGAAGAAGUCAGAGUAUUGCACACUGGAAGAUUUGUCAGCUUCCAAUUCCUAUUCAUCCUGCUUGGCUCAUGCUUUGGUAUUUCUGUUUUGUGCUAAACCUGGAUCUAGGAUUAUGUCCCACAGAUGCAACUUUCUGGGCCCUCAGAGAAGACCUGAAGGGCCUUAGGAGGAGGCAGAUUAUUUGUUUCCAAGACGGCAUUAAUCACCAAGUGUCACUGAGAAAGUGAGGAGGAAAACACAAUUACAGUUUUGGCCAGAAAGAAGCAUUAGGAACAGCAUUGCAAGAGAUCUUCCAAAACAUGCAAAGCUUUCUAUGAAUUGAGAAAUUAAGAUAAUGGGGUUACAGAAAUAAAUCUGGUGCCAGUGUUUUAGCCUGACAAGAAAUAAACCUUUGACUCUUCAGGAUAUGCCUCCAAAGCAUCCAGUGCUGGGAGAAAAUAUGGAACACUUGAAGCCCCACUGACUGCAUAUGAGAAGAUAGCAAAGAAGCAACCACCAUGUUCCUUAAGAAAAUGCUAUUAUUAAACACAGCCACUUUUUCCUUUAGAAGAAGAUCCACAAGUCCCAAGAAAGACAGUAUGCAACUUGCAUGCAGCUAUGACAGAUUGCUGUGUAAGUGAUCUGUACAAAACUAAGAGCUUUCCUUCACAGCAAGUUUAACAACAUUUUAAGAAGCACCUUUAUACCUGUAAAGGAAAGUGAAGGAGGAGGGGUGAUGUUGUCUCAUAAGUUUUUCAGAGAGCUCUUACACAUAGAAAUAAUGAAUGUAUUUUCAAAUCUGUGUACAGCUGCUUAACAAGGAACUAUAGCUUUCUGUAGUGGAGUACAGCAAGACCUCAGGUGCACAGUAUUAAACUGCUACCAUGAAGGUGGGCCAGAUAAGAGUGCUGUAUUCUCUUUGAAAAGUAAGAGAAAGCACUGCUAUCAUUUUCUCAGCUUUGGAAGGGCAAAUGCCAAAUUUUUCAUCAAAAACAUAAAAAACAACUUUCACCACCACCAUAUUUUGCUUAGGAGCAUAACUGCAAAAACAAGUUAAAGCAACCAAGAGAAAAUGUUUACAAAGUGCUAUGUCUGUUCUCACCUAUUUGAAAAUUAACUCUAUCCCGGCUGCAUCCAGGACAUAAACAAAAGUAGAAAUGGAAAUGAAGCCCCUUUUAUUUCAAAUCAUUAUUCAAAAGUCCUGUCUGCUUCCAGGCUAUGCUUGAGAUAAUCAUCUAUUACUUAAAACUGAGGUAAUGGAACAAGCAGCAGUCUGACCAGAACAGCUUAGAUUGCAUGGCAGUGCUGAGGAAGCUGAAGGUGCCUACAAAUUUGUUAUCCCUAAUAUCAAAGAUCAAAAGAGUAAAGUGCUGCUCUGCAGCACAGCACAUAAAUUACUUUAUAAGGGAGCUCUCAUGCAUCCUGAUGGGUCUAUGAGAACUGACAGACACUAAUAGGCAGUAAAAUAAUUUCUCUAGAAGUUCACUUCUGCUGUUUGUUUGCAUACCUCUCUGGGGCAGAAGUGAAAUUUGCUAGUGUUUCCCCCUGAAUCUGCCUCCCAUGCAUUGAAAACAAUGAAAUUCUAUUUGAAUUAGGACAGCAGGAGAGGCAAUUUAAAGGGGCACUAAAGAUUCAGUCUCUUAAUCACAACUGUGACAAAAUGCUGUUAUCCUUGCCGGCAAUUCCCUGGCAAUUUACAGUACACUAGUGUAAAAGGAGGAGACCUUGCAUUGCAAAGAAACCUGACCAGAUAACCAGGUCUUCAUCUACUGAUUCCCCUUUCCUGGCACUGCUGCACAUCCACGGCAUCACCAGGUACUCUGCCACCCUGAAGCAAUUCGGGAGCUAUAUUCUGACCCUGACAUUGAAUCUAAAGUUAUUUAGAAAGCAAAGUCAGUGCAGAGGUUGGCUCCUGAAUAACCCAUUUAGCGAGGAGGGCAUUUCAGUAGGGCUGUGUGAAUGCACACCAGCAGCCCCAUUAGGCUGCAGCAGCACCUCAAGCGUUUUUACUAUUGGGGCAACCUAAAACCACUCUGCCUGAACUGUGCUUUCUGCUGCUCCCCAAAAGGGACUCCCUUCCUGCAUAUUGGACAGAAAUUAAAUUGUUGGGCAGGUUUCCCCUGCAAGGUCCUGGAACCCUAGGUUGCUCUAAGUAUAGCAGUUGUUUUAGGAUAUAAGAAAAGACAUACAUAAUGAGGAAUUUAAGAAAGAUCUAAAGACUUUGAAGAUAACAUCCCAAAAUAAAGAAGACUUAAAGAAAGAAUUAGGAUUUUUUUUUCUUUCAUGUAAUUGCUGAGCUGAUUUCCUGCUGAACAAUUGCUCAAAUGUAACAAAAAAAAAUUGUUGAACUGACAAUGGUAAGUUAAAUAAAGGCAUAUUUUUAUAAUCUGCAUGUAACUGAAGCUAAUUUAAAAUAUAAGGAAAAGCAAGUAGUGUAAAGCCAGGAAAAUACCCCAAGGAUCAAUAUGAUCUUCAAAAGAUUGUGAUGUUUUCAACAACUUGUUAAUUGCUGGUAUAUCAGUAAGUGCCAAACCCAAAUCAUUGUUUCAAAUUAUGUUCCAAAGCAAAACACAUGGAAGUUGCCAACCUCUUUUAAGCAACAAAAAUAAAAGACUCCACAUACUUAUGAGUGAUUUUUGAAUUAUUGUAAUUCUUAUGACUCUCAUAAGUUGCAUUGGCUCUCAAAUGAAUCUCUGCUUUCAUUACCAAUCACUGCUGUUUAAAGGCCUUGAAUAUUUGAAUCUUAGAAUUCUUCCUGUGAGAUGCUUAAAUAAAUAGAAACUGCAAAUAUGUGUUUUUAGCCUUUAAUCUGGUCACUUUUGUCAAGAGAAAUACUAUUAAAUUACCCUAGCUGUUCUUCAGGCAAAACUCUUAAGCCAUCUAUUACCCAUGUUCCUUUAGGCUGCAAACAUUCUCAAAUAGGUUUGCCUAUUUCUUUUGCUUCUCUCUUUAUAACUAGCUGAUGAGAAAAAGCAGAAGAAAUGUUAAGUGUGAUUAAUUUAUUUUAAAGCAUAUUGUUAAGCUAGCAUCCCUUUCCAGAAUAGCAAAUUUCUGCUGACAGCCUUUUUACACCAGAUUUUCAGCCAGUUUUCCAUGAGAAGUUUCCAGCAUCCUGUAAGAAAAAUUUCCGUUUCCUGUGAAGUCUCCUGGAGUUGUUAAUUUAUGUAGAAUGAAGAAAGUAAUUUCAAAACAGAUAUGAAGUGGGCAAUUGCUUUUCCCUUCCUGAGGUUGCCAUGGGUUUGUUCUCUUGAAGGAGAGCCUCACCUUUCAGUUGAGGACUUCCAGCAGCAGGAGUUUCUCUGGUGCUGUGCACAGAGCUCUUCACCUACAAGUGGAAGGGAAGAUAGAGUCCCUGCAGCCACUUCAGGAUUUCUACUUGGAAGCCUAGUAAUGAAACACUGAAGUGAAAAUAAUUAGAAGUAUUUGGAAUUCAGUGUCAAAGUUUCUCAAUUGAGACAUCUCAAAUAUAUCCAUUGAAAACAUCGUCCUACCCAUUACUGUUCAGAUACUCUUCAGUAUUUCUGUUCAAAUGGUGUAUUAGCUGGUCUGAGGCUGUUGAAUAUCACUUCUAAUAGUUCAUAGCAUCCUUUAUAAAUAAUUUGUUUUCUGUAGAAUUUCACAUUGCUUUCUUAACUGAGAUAAUUUGUAGACAAUUUUGUAAUUAAAAAAACUAUUUAGAAACUGUGGAUCUUGUUUUGAAUUGUGCUUGAAGUUUAAUCAAAAUUUUUAUGGAGAGAGACAAAACUUAUCUCCAAAACCAUUUUAAAUAUGUUAGGGAUCACUGUUUUCCUCUGGUAUUGCUUUGAGUCAGAACAUUGACAAUGUUAAAAAAACUAAUUUUUUUGGGAGAAAGACUCAAGGGUAAGAUUUUAUUCUGUUUGUAUCCUUCCAAUUAUUUUUGCAAGGCUCUCUGAAAAAUGACUGGUUGUCUUCUCUGUCCUUCAGGACAGCUGGUCGAUAUCCAUAAGGCUUCCUCUUGGAAGGAAAUCUGGAAUUCUGUGUAUUUAAUUGUUUUUUUCUAUCUUCUUGGGUUUUUUUACUAGAAUGUUUAAGCUAAAAAUGUAUCAAAAUUCUGUGGUGAAAUUUAGGCAUGAGAAUCCAAUUAAAUAACUUAACUUCUCCUUAAAAUUGCUUUAACCAGCAUCAUUGAGCAUAUCACAAUGAGUUUGGUUAGUAAAGCUGAGACUAUGUUUUCUGAGUCAGAGAGCAGGUGGGAAAUGGGGGUUGUGGGGGUGGAAUUAUUCUGGUUUUCUACAGUUCUUGACUUUGGUGGGAAUUGUAGGUAUUUAGCACCCCGGAUUAACAGGUAACUUAUUUAGGUGUUUAAUUGUAGGCACUCAGGCUGAAUUUUAAGUUAUUUUUCUUCCUUGAGUUUAGAUAUAAGUGAGUAGAGGGUGGCAUUUUAUGCCUUGUAAGAUAUAAAAGCAUGGAGGGAAAGAACUGGUUUGAGGCUGCAUAUCAGGACAUACCUAGAAGGAAAAGGGUUAAAGAUAAGCAGAGUAAAAUGCGUGCCCCAUAUGAGAACAAAACUUGCAAACAAGAUAAAUUUGUCUAUAAGAGGGUUUUCCAAAGCAACCAAAGAAAAUGUUGACAUUCAUGGACAUCCAGAAGUACUCUGGGAAAAAAAAGGAGACAUUUCCUGAACCCUGGAUAGAAACAAUUUUCAUCUCUGAUAUUGUGUCUGAAUAUUCGGUGUGAAACAGUGAUUUUGCUUGAAAAUACAUAGGGCAGCCAAAAGCUUGUAGCCACUUGUGCCUUGCUGAGAGCUCAGCUUCCAUAAAACUGAGCUCCUUUAAAGAAGGUGCCACGCUGUCAGCACAUCUGUCUCGAGCAAGGGAAGGAAGCACUGAAGGUGGAGGAUUGCUGUUCAUUAAUUGCAUCAUAUUGAGCUUCCAGGCAGACUUGAGACGGCCAAAAGGUGGAGAUUUUUAGGUUCCUCCCCCUACUUUUCUAUCUCCUCCCCCCUUCCCAAAAUAAGUGUUUUGUCAAAACCGCCUUGUGGCAGAGCAAGGGUUUUAAAAGGAAAGUCAGGAACAAAGCAAGAAUUUUGGAGACUAGGUUAAUUCCAAUCCUUUCUUUUCUGAAAGGUAGACUUGUAAUGUGUACACUCUAUCAAGUUACACUUCUUUUUCACUGCUACUCAGGGUGCAAAUCCAAAAAAAGCUAAACAUAUAAGCAAUAAUAAAAUAGGGUCACGAGUCAUCAUUCAGCCUUGUAAGUACAAGAGUUUUCAGCUUCCAGUCGUUGAUCAAAGAAUAAAAAUUAUAAGAACUGGGGAUAUAUUCAUACUUUGUUCCAUUUUAUUCAUGUGUGGAUUACUCAUGGAAAAUUUUCCUCUGCUUUCAAUAGAAAUAUUUCCGAGUUAAAAUCUGUAAAAACUAGCUGAUACUUAAGUACUUUUUUAGAAUUAAGGAUUCAUUAAUAAAAUGAGUCUGUGGGUCUUACAAUUUCUUUAUUAGAAAUGUAUACUUGACUAAUUUACUUAAUAUUGUGCCAGUGUUGCACACUGUAAUCUUGUAUUUCUAGAUGUAAAAUGUAGUGAAGACUUUUCAAUGCAUCACAGCAGUUGCUUUGUGAAUGGAAAUAUAUUUACUGCAAGUGUAAACAACUAAAUGUGUGAGACAAGACAUCUGCCAAGGAUAAAGUCUUGAAUUAAAUCCUAUUUUUAUCAAA